GCUCUCCCUCACUCCCUCACGCAACACGCAGCUCUCCCUCACUCCCUCACGCAGCACGCAGCUCUCCCUCACUCCCUCACUCCGACUGGCUCUCUUUUACUCCGUCGCCCAUCUCCAGUCACCGGCUCUCCCAGUCUCCCUCACUCCGCAGCUCAUCUCCAGGUCCGACUCUCCCUCACUCGGCAGCUCAUCUCCAGUCACCGGCUCUCCCUCACUCCGCAGCUCAUCUCCAGAUUUGUGUUGGUUAGUGUGGACUGAGGCUGCUUGUGGUUUUGGGAUUCCAAUUAAAUCCAUUCUUUCUUCACAUAAGGUAAGGAAGCUGAAUCAAAAUUUUGUUUUAUUUUGUUCUUUCUGUUUCAUUUAUCAAUUUUAGAUGUACUAUUUUUUGUGAGGAGGAAAACUCUCUCAUACAACUAUUUGGUUAAAAAAUAAUUCUGUCUUUUGACCAUCA
This is a long non-coding RNA of Quercus robur (English oak), 451 nucleotides long. RefSeq lists it as uncharacterized. The transcript has 3 exons. Lineage: Eukaryota; Viridiplantae; Streptophyta; Magnoliopsida; Fagales; Fagaceae. The record is from RefSeq and is a predicted model, not a curated record.